Molecule: ribosomal RNA, 207 nt
Filed under: uncultured bacterium
Lineage: Bacteria
Description: partial 16S ribosomal RNA
Rfam family: Bacterial small subunit ribosomal RNA
Source: RNAcentral
CGCGUAGGCGGCUUUAUAAGUCAGAUGUGAAAGUCCAUGGCUCAACUGUGGAAGUGCAUUUGAAACUGUGAAGCUUGAAUAUCGGAGGGGAGUGUGGAAUUCCCGGUGUAGAGGUGAAAUUCGUAGAGAUCGGGAGGAACACCGGUGGCGAAGGCGACACUCUGGACGAAUACUGACGCUGAGGCGCGAAAGCGUGGGGAGCAAACA